RNAcentral lists this small nuclear RNA (104 nucleotides) under Theropithecus gelada (gelada). Lineage: Eukaryota; Metazoa; Chordata; Mammalia; Primates; Cercopithecidae. The record is from RNAcentral.
GUGCUCUCUUUGGCAGCACAUAUACUAAAAUUGGAACUAGACAGAGAUAGGCAUUGCCCCAGAGCAAGAAUGACACACAAAUUCGUGACGCUUUCAAUAAAAAA